UACGGGGGGGAGCAAGCGUUGUUCGGAUUUACUGGGCGUAAAGGGCGCGUAGGCGGCCACCGCAAGUCAGUUGUGAAAUCUCUGGGCUUAACCCAGAAAGGUCAACUGAUACUGCGGGGCUAGAGUGCAGAAGGGGCAACUGGAAUUCUCGGUGUAGCGGUGAAAUGCGUAGAUAUCUGGAGGAACACCGGUGGCGAAGGCGGCAUCCUGGACCAAUUCUGACGCUGAGUGAGCGAAAGCCAGGGGAGCAAACGGGG
This 257-nucleotide ribosomal RNA is filed under the name uncultured bacterium. RNAcentral describes it as "partial 16S ribosomal RNA". It matches the Rfam family "Bacterial small subunit ribosomal RNA", at positions 524 to 777 of the family's 1533-position model. The record is from RNAcentral.